Hydractinia symbiolongicarpus is the source of this 2167-nucleotide long non-coding RNA. RefSeq lists it as uncharacterized. The transcript is spliced from 2 exons. The record is from RefSeq and is a predicted model, not a curated record. NCBI's taxonomy places the organism in Eukaryota, Metazoa, Cnidaria, Hydrozoa, Anthoathecata, Hydractiniidae.
UCAGAUUGCUUUAUCUUUCCUUCAUUGGUAAAAAUCUGAUUCUGCGGGGUUUUCCCAAAAUUUUCUGAUAAAAGCCGCGCACAACCAUUUUGAAUAUACAGAAUACGGCUAUUAUUAAAGAGAAGAUGGACAACAGAAGUGAUAACCAUUAAAAGAAAUAAACUAACACUAAAUACACAAGAGAAAUCAGUGUCAUUAAGGUUUUUUAACUAACUAUACAUAGAUUUCCAUAGAUUGUAAUGGCAAUAUAAUGUGUGUUACGAGUAAGUUAUGUGUGUUUGAGAAUGUAUUUACAGUCUCUGUGGAUAAAGAAGUAAAAAAAUUGUUGGAAAAAAACUUCAUAAAAGACUGCAUAUAAAUGCUGUAAUGCCAAAAGGAAAAUACUGGGUUAGGCAGCCAAUGGUAAGUUUUUAUUAAAUUUGAUUUGAGAUUUGAAAUUUGAUUUGAGGUUUAAUUUGAAAAAAAAUAUAAAAGUAAUGUUGUGUAGUGGGUUGCACGUACUAUUACUUUCAGUUAAAAAGUCCAAAAAUCAACGUGAUAGAAUAUAAUUAAUUGGAUAUAACAAUUUAAUUGCUAUGUUGUGCUUUUUUUAUGGUUUAUAGAGAACAGACAAAAGAUAUUGCCGACAGAAACGAUGGUGAAAGCAUUAGAGAACAAAGAAUCUUUACAACAAGUGAAGGUUAGUCCGAACAUAUUAACUGUUUUCAUGUUAGAGAAAUGCUCGAAUGUUCGUUGUUAUCAAUCUCAAGAAACCCUUUCGUAUUAACGAAUAAGAUUUGUUCCAUUUUUAUUUAUCUUAUCUUUAGUGAAGAAACUCAAAGUCGCGAUAACCUAGAUUCACAGCAAGCAUGACGAAUUCAUGGUGGUUCAGUUAAAUUUAAAAUAUAAAAUUAUUGAUAGAUAGACAAUUGUCAACCAGGCCUUAACUUUUGCAAUCUUAAAGUUAAAGUCCAAUAGACAAGUAAAAAUUAGGGCCUAAAAAUAUUUUUCCGUUCGACUUCCUUUUGAAUAUUUUUCAUUUUGUGUCGUAGUGUAAAACGUUUGUAAUAUUUUUUUGCAUAUUGGAAAAAGCUGCCAAAAGGGAACAAAUCCAUAGUUCAGCUUGUUUUGAUUAACCACAAAAAAAGCUUAGGGAUGAAUUUCCCGUAUUUAAAAGCAAUCCAUACACAUUGUUUCAGUAAAUUCGGUCUUUGAAAAAAACACGUUUGGGGAGAUAAUUUACCCGCAUUAAGAAGCAAUCCAUACAAGCAAUCCAUGAUAUUCAGUUCUUUUAGUAAAUUCGGUCUUUAGAAAAAACAUUUACGGAGAUAAUUUACCGGUAUUAAGAAGCAAUCCAUACAUAUAAAAUUCAGUUGUUUUAGUAAAUUCGAUUUUUGAAAUAUAUAUAUAUAUAUAUAUGAACACAAAUUGUAGCUAUAGGAAUAACCAACAAGAUAGAUGACUACAUCAAGAAUUAAGUAAAAAGAUUUUAUUAUUUAAAAUUUUCGUCAGUUCAUCGACUGACUUCUUCAGUAUCGCUUACAAUACAGUAUUAACAAUUAAAAUAUCUUAUAUAGUGAUAAAAAUAAAUUAUAUACAAUUAAAUACACAAGGGUUUAAAACUGGUUUCCAUCACCAUCAUCCUACUAUCAACUUAACACACGGUUUCUACAACUUGCAUUUUUCUGUUCUUUUAGUUCUAUUCCAGUCAUGAGAACCAUUAAGUCCCUGAUGUUGUGUGACGAGUGUCCCUAUCCAGAAUUUUUCUUUAUCUAAUAGCAAACUAUCAAUUUGCCUGUUUGUUAAAUUCUCUCCAUUGUUCACAACAUCAACUAUAAUAAACCCAAUAUUUUGCACGGAGGCAUUAGGGCAUUCAUCAAUAAAAUGUUUCACAACUUUGCAAGAUGGUAUCUUCUUUUUAAUGUGGGAUUUGUAAUUCGAAAGUCGAGGCUUCCAAGCAAUGUAAAAAUAUAUAAAAAAACAAGGACAGACUUAGCAACGUCAACGUUACGCAACUUUCAAAAUGGCCGUAAUAACACUGCUCUCUGCUUUACACAUCCCUUUGUCGUGGCUGCAAAAUCUCGGAUUGGUUUUUCAAAAAAAAUCAGGCGUUGCAAUUGAAUGCUACACGCGGGAGAAUAAAACAAAGUCGGUAAAUAUAUAUCGCAUUUGGUAUUUUGUGCAGAUA